This 17-nucleotide transfer RNA is filed under the name Arceuthobium yecorense. RNAcentral's name for it is "partial tRNA-Thr". Lineage: Eukaryota; Viridiplantae; Streptophyta; Magnoliopsida; Santalales; Viscaceae. The record is from RNAcentral.
ACCCGCUUAGCUCAGAG